RNAcentral lists this ribosomal RNA (254 nucleotides) under uncultured bacterium. RNAcentral's name for it is "partial 16S ribosomal RNA". It matches the Rfam family "Bacterial small subunit ribosomal RNA", at positions 524 to 776 of the family's 1533-position model. The record is from RNAcentral.
UACGAAGGGGGGCUAGCGUUGCUCGGAAUUACUGGGCGUAAAGGGCGCGUAGGCGGAUAUUUAGGUCGGGGGUGAAAGCCCGAGGCUCAACCUCGGAACUGCCUUCGAUACUGCGGGUCUCGAGUCCGGGAGAGGUGAGUGGAAUUCCUAGUGUAGAGGUGAAAUUCGUAGAUAUUAGGAAGAACACCAGUGGCGAAGGCGGCUCACUGGCCCGGUACUGACGCUGAGGUGCGAAAGCGUGGGGAGCAAACAGG